Molecule: ribosomal RNA, 426 nt
Filed under: uncultured cyanobacterium
Lineage: Bacteria; Bacillati; Cyanobacteriota
Description: bacterial SSU rRNA
Rfam family: Bacterial small subunit ribosomal RNA
Source: RNAcentral
GGCAGCAGUGGGGAAUUUUCCGCAAUGGGCGAAAGCCUGACGGAGCAAGACCGCGUGGGGGAAGAAGGCUCUUGGGUUGUAAACCCCUUUUCUCUGGGAAGAACGCAAUGACGGUACCAGAGGAAUCAGCAUCGGCUAACUCCGUGCCAGCAGCCGCGGUAAGACGGAGGAUGCAAGCGUUAUCCGGAAUGAUUGGGCGUAAAGCGUCCGCAGGUGGCAGUUCAAGUCUGCUGUCAAAGACCGGGGCUCAACCUCGGAAAGGCAGUGGAAACUGAACAGCUAGAGUAUGGUAGGGGCAAAGGGAAUUCCUGGUGUAGCGGUGAAAUGCGUAGAGAUCAGGAAGAACAUCGGUGGCGAAGGCGCUUUGCUGGACCAUAACUGACACUCAGGGACGAAAGCUAGGGGAGCGAAUGGGAUUAGAUACCC